This 254-nucleotide ribosomal RNA is filed under the name uncultured bacterium. Its description in RNAcentral is "partial 16S ribosomal RNA". It matches the Rfam family "Bacterial small subunit ribosomal RNA", at positions 524 to 776 of the family's 1533-position model. The record is from RNAcentral.
UACGUAGGACCCAAGCGUUAUCCGGAUUUACUGGGUGUAAAGAGUUGCGUAGGCGGCUCGUAAAGUGAAUAGUGAAAGCUGGUCGCUCAACGAUCAAAACAUUAUUCAAACUCACGAGCUCGAGAGUGAUAGAGGUUACUGGAAUUUCUAGUGUAGGAGUGAAAUCCGUAGAUAUUAGAAGGAACACCAAUGGCGUAGGCAGGUAACUAGAUCAUUUCUGACGCUCAGGCACGAAAGCGUGGGGAGCGAACCGG